This 1260-nucleotide long non-coding RNA is filed under the name Mus musculus (house mouse). RNAcentral's name for it is "predicted gene, 48410". Lineage: Eukaryota; Metazoa; Chordata; Mammalia; Rodentia; Muridae. The record is from RNAcentral.
UGCAAGGAAGCGGCCAUUUGUGAUUGGCUUAAAGCCACGCCAUAUGCCUCCCAACCCCUUUGUUGGGUGCCUUUAUGUUGCUUUUUAUGUAUCUCCAAAUGGAGUAGGGUGUAAUUUUGCCUCUUUUGAAGAGGAGAGCAUCUCUGUGGGUUCGUCUAUACUGUUCAUGGUGCUGUGUUUCUAAGACACCGUGUUUCCAUAGCUGUUCAUGAUUUUACUGCUGUCCAGUCGUCUCAUACACAUACAUCCCAUUUAUAUGUCCAGUGUUUUUCAAAUAGACAAUUAUUUUUAAACAAAAUUUCUACUUUACUGCUUUAUGAUCCUGGAAGCAACACUUGGCCCACCUCUGUAGGGUAUUUACCUAGGAGAGGAAUUGCUGUGUACAAAGUUGUUUGAAACUCCUCUUCAAACUGGCUGUGCCAAUUUAUACUCACAUUAACAGCGCAGGGGGAUUCUCUUGCUUCACACUUUGAACUGCCAGAAUGACAGAGAGCGAAACAGAUCUCAUUGUGGUUGAAUUUGUCUUUAAUGGACACUAACUGAAGACAUUAAAUGCCCCUUCAAAUGGCUAUUGGCUAUUCAUUUUCCCACUUGUUUUUCUUUAUACUUAAGGAAUAGCAGCCAUCAUCACAAUUAUCGGUGAAUAUUGCAUUCUGUGUCCCAGGCAUCCACAGGUCAUACUAUCCCUCGUUAAUUUUAUGAAGACGUUAACUGUAUUUUGGGGGCCUAGAGAGAGAGAGAGAGAGAGAGAGAACAGAAAGGAUGGUUCAUGUCUUAUACAUUCACAUGCUUGCUGGAUUGGUCCAUUGAUAAGUCAAACUCCAGAAAGUUUUAUUUCAGUGUAAGGAACAAUGUAAGAAAAUGGAAACCAAACCUAGAGUGUGUGUAAGUGUGAUAAAGUUGUAAUUUGUGAACGCCUUAAUUAUGAUUGUCUAAAAGUAGUUUAAAAACUCCAGUCUGGCACCGCAACUCGCUUCCUCCCAGAGCCAUAUGGAGAUGGAGAUACCAUCAUGUUGAGAGAGGAGUCCAGCGAUCCAGACGCCCACCGCCGAAUGAGAGGAGCCCGCACCACGGACCGUGCUCCAGCUGAACCCGAGAAACAGAAGGACACGUCUCCAGCCUUACCUGAUGCGCUGUCAUCAAACCAGGCUAGGAUAUCAGGCCAGACCAGAGGUUAGUGAAGUGUAUAUGUAUGUGAAGGAAUGCAAUCCCAUUUUGCUCUUUGUUACUAUUCCUGAAUAAAUAAGUUGUUAGAAUCUG